GCUUGUGGUUUAAUUCGAUGCAACGCGAAAAACCUUACCACUUCUUGACAUGGAGGCUAGAUCCUUCUUAACGGGAGGGCGCAGUUCGGCUGGGCCUCGCACAGGUGCUGCAUGGCUGUCGUCAGCUCGUGUCGUGAGAUGUUGGGUUAAGUCCCGCAACGAGCGUAACCCUCAUCCUUAGUUACCAGCGGGUAAUGCCGGGCACUUUAAGGAAACUGCCAGUGAUAAACUGGAGGAAGGUGGGGAUGAUGUCAAGUCAGCACGGCCCUUAUGGGGUGGGCUACACACGUGCUACAAUGGCGACUACAAUAGGUUGCAACGUCGCAAGGCUGAGCUAAUCCGUAAAAGUCGUCUCAGUUCGGAUUGUCCUCUGUAACUCGAGGGCAUGAAGUCGGAAUCGCUAGUAAUCGUGGAUCAGCAUGCCACGGUGAAUACGUUCUCGGGUCUUGUACACACUGCCCGUCACGCCAUGGGAAUUGGCUUAACUCGAAGCUGGUGCGCCAACUGUAAGGAGGCAGCCAUUUAAGGUUGGGUCGGUGACUGGGUG
RNAcentral lists this ribosomal RNA (547 nucleotides) under uncultured Anaplasma sp. RNAcentral describes it as "bacterial SSU rRNA". It matches the Rfam family "Bacterial small subunit ribosomal RNA", at positions 937 to 1482 of the family's 1533-position model. The record is from RNAcentral. Lineage: Bacteria; Pseudomonadati; Pseudomonadota; Alphaproteobacteria; Rickettsiales; Anaplasmataceae.